This 2693-nucleotide ribosomal RNA is filed under the name unidentified. RNAcentral's name for it is "bacterial LSU rRNA". It matches the Rfam family "Bacterial large subunit ribosomal RNA". The record is from RNAcentral.
ACUGUGAUCCGGAGAUGUCUGAAUGGGGGAACCCAGCCAUCACAAGAUGGUUAUCUUACACUGAAUACAUAGGUGUAAGAGGCGAACCAGGGGAACUGAAACAUCUAAGUACCCUGAGGAAAAGAAAUCAACCGAGAUUCCCUUAGUAGUGGCGAGCGAACGGGGACCAGCCCUUAAGUUGUAUUGAGAUUAGCGGAACGCUCUGGAAAGUGCGGCCAUAGUGGGUGAUAGCCCUGUACGCGAAAAUCCCUUUGCAAUGAAAUCGAGUAGGACGGGGCACGAGAAACCUUGUCUGAAUAUGGGGGGACCAUCCUCCAAGGCUAAAUACUACUGACUGACCGAUAGUGAACCAGUACCGUGAGGGAAAGGCGAAAAGAACCGCGGAGAGCGGAGUGAAAUAGAUCCUGAAACCGUAUGCGUACAAGCAGUGGGAGCCCACUUUGUUGGGUGACUGCGUACCUUUUGUAUAAUGGGUCAGCGACUUAUUUUCAGUGGCGAGCUUAACCGAAUAGGGGAGGCGUAGCGAAAGCGAGUCUUAAUAGGGCGUCUAGUCGCUGGGAAUAGACCCGAAACCGGGCGAUCUAUCCAUGGGCAGGUUGAAGGUUGGGUAACACUAACUGGAGGACCGAACCGACUACCGUUGAAAAGUUAGCGGAUGACCUGUGGAUCGGAGUGAAAGGCUAAUCAAGCUCGGAGAUAGCUGGUUCUCCUCGAAAGCUAUUUAGGUAGCGCCUCAUGUAUCACUGUAGGGGGUAGAGCACUGUUUCGGCUAGGGGGUCAUCCCGACUUACCAAACCGAUGCAAACUCCGAAUACCUACAAGUGCCGAGCAUGGGAGACACACGGCGGGUGCUAACGUCCGUCGUGAAAAGGGAAACAACCCAGACCGUCAGCUAAGGUCCCAAAGUCAUGGUUAAGUGGGAAACGAUGUGGGAAGGCUUAGACAGCUAGGAGGUUGGCUUAGAAGCAGCCACCCUUUAAAGAAAGCGUAAUAGCUCACUAGUCGAGUCGGCCUGCGCGGAAGAUGUAACGGGGCUCAAACCAUGCACCGAAGCUACGGGUAUCACUUAGGUGAUGCGGUAGAGGAGCGUUCUGUAAGCCUGUGAAGGUGAGUUGAGAAGCUUGCUGGAGGUAUCAGAAGUGCGAAUGCUGACAUGAGUAACGACAAUGGGUGUGAAAAACACCCACGCCGAAAGACCAAGGUUUCCUGCGCAACGUUAAUCGACGCAGGGUGAGUCGGUCCCUAAGGCGAGGCUGAAAAGCGUAGUCGAUGGAAAACAGGUUAAUAUUCCUGUACUUCUGGUUAUUGCGAUGGAGGGACGGAGAAGGCUAGGCCAGCUUGGCGUUGGUUGUCCAAGUUUAAGGUGGUAGGCUGAAAUCUUAGGUAAAUCCGGGGUUUCAAGGCCGAGAGCUGAUGACGAGUUACCCUUUAGGGUGACGAAGUGGUUGAUGCCAUGCUUCCAAGAAAAGCUUCUAAGCUUCAGAUAACCAGGAACCGUACCCCAAACCGACACAGGUGGUUGGGUAGAGAAUACCAAGGCGCUUGAGAGAACUCGGGUGAAGGAACUAGGCAAAAUGGCACCGUAACUUCGGGAGAAGGUGCGCCGGUGAGGGUGAAGGACUUGCUCCGUAAGCUCAUGCCGGUCGAAGAUACCAGGCCGCUGCGACUGUUUAUUAAAAACACAGCACUCUGCAAACACGAAAGUGGACGUAUAGGGUGUGACGCCUGCCCGGUGCCGGAAGGUUAAUUGAUGGGGUUAGCUCACGCGAAGCUCUUGAUCGAAGCCCCGGUAAACGGCGGCCGUAACUAUAACGGUCCUAAGGUAGCGAAAUUCCUUGUCGGGUAAGUUCCGACCUGCACGAAUGGCGUAACGAUGGCGGCGCUGUCUCCACCCGAGACUCAGUGAAAUUGAAAUCGCUGUGAAGAUGCAGUGUAUCCGCGGCUAGACGGAAAGACCCCGUGAACCUUUACUAUAGCUUUGCACUGGACUUUGAAUUUGCUUGUGUAGGAUAGGUGGGAGGCUUUGAAGCGUGGACGCCAGUCUGCGUGGAGCCAACCUUGAAAUACCACCCUGGCAACUUUGAGGUUCUAACUCAGGUCCGUUAUCCGGAUCGAGGACAGUGUAUGGUGGGUAGUUUGACUGGGGCGGUCUCCUCCUAAAGAGUAACGGAGGAGUACGAAGGUGCGCUCAGACCGGUCGGAAAUCGGUCGUAGAGUAUAAAGGCAAAAGCGCGCUUGACUGCGAGACAGACACGUCGAGCAGGUACGAAAGUAGGUCUUAGUGAUCCGGUGGUUCUGUAUGGAAGGGCCAUCGCUCAACGGAUAAAAGGUACUCCGGGGAUAACAGGCUGAUACCGCCCAAGAGUUCAUAUCGACGGCGGUGUUUGGCACCUCGAUGUCGGCUCAUCACAUCCUGGGGCUGAAGCCGGUCCCAAGGGUAUGGCUGUUCGCCAUUUAAAGUGGUACGCGAGCUGGGUUUAGAACGUCGUGAGACAGUUCGGUCCCUAUCUGCCGUGGACGUUUGAGAUUUGAGAGGGGCUGCUCCUAGUACGAGAGGACCGGAGUGGACGAACCUCUGGUGUUCCGGUUGUCACGCCAGUGGCAUUGCCGGGUAGCUAUGUUCGGAAAAGAUAACCGCUGAAAGCAUCUAAGCGGGAAACUUGCCUCAAGAUGAGAUCUCACUGGAACCUUGA